Molecule: long non-coding RNA, 800 nt
Organism: Xiphias gladius (swordfish)
Lineage: Eukaryota; Metazoa; Chordata; Actinopteri; Istiophoriformes; Xiphiidae
Exons: 4
Source: RefSeq, a predicted model, not a curated record
AAGUUCCGAUUUUUAUUGUGGCUAACUCGCAAAUCUGUUCAACAUGUCUCCUUUGCAGACUCUCCACUGUCAUUAGAAGCGUCUAGAUUUUUCGUGAAACUACUGCGUUUCAGGUUAGCAGCAAGCUAGCGGGCCGUUGCCAGCCAGGACCCAGAAAUACAGCAGCAUCAUCAUCAAUGGUGUGUCUACAACCCGGAGCCGUCACAUUUUCCUGUGUCCGCUCAAUGACCGAUCUCCUCAGCUCUCAUCACAGCUGCACAUGUAUGGCGUUUGCGAGGCUUGGAGGGGAGUUUUGCAAAGCCCAGCACCUGCUGCUUAUCGUGGACAAGUGAACAGGGUACACCAGCUAGGCGCAAACACUGCCAUUCACACACGCAGGUCCUCACUGCCAUCCUGUUCAACCCAUAUGAAGACAAGCCAACCUUCAGUCUGUCACCUGUCCUGGGGAGUAGGGGAGGCUUUGGCUUUGGCCGGGGGCUUCCUUUCUGCUCUUCUCCUUUCCUGCUUUUCCCUUCUUCUUCUGUUCUGACUCAUACAAGUCUUCUCUGAAUGGGCUAACAGAUUUAAAAGGAAGGAGGGAUAGAUCUUUUCCCGUCUUCAGUUUUUUUUCUUCAGGACUUUUGGAUGUCUGCUAGAUUUUAAUUUUUGUUUUCAACCGAGGCAGUUUUAGUCAGAAAAAGCUUUCAGUUUUUUCCCCCCUCAAGAUAAAGAAAUUUAUCUUGUCCUUUUUGUUUGUCAGACUACUUUUUGUUGCCAAAGGAGUAGAAUAUUUACAUUCUUUGCCCAUAAAUCAUAUUUUA